Anolis carolinensis (green anole) is the source of this 759-nucleotide long non-coding RNA. RefSeq lists it as uncharacterized. The transcript has 4 exons. The record is from RefSeq and is a predicted model, not a curated record. NCBI's taxonomy places the organism in Eukaryota, Metazoa, Chordata, Lepidosauria, Squamata, Anolidae.
GAGGGCAGUUAGCAAACACAGACCUACAUCAGCUUCUGCUCUUUGGCUGCUCACCUAAUCCUGCAGCCACAAGGGACUGGAGGAAUCCAGCAGCUCUGCAGCCAAGAACAUAGCAUUACCUUGAUCUCUGCAUAGGCUGCAAAUCUGGACUACAGUACCACUGCUGGGAUUGCCGUAGGCAUCAUCAAGAGAGGACAGAGUUGGCAAGUCAAAUGGAUCAGCGGAAGGAGGAAUGGGGAAGAUUCUUUUUUUUCCUGCUGCUACUGCAGAAGAUCUAGUAAAGGUAUAAUAACUGUAAAGUUGCCUCUUUUUCUGUCUCUGCGAGGCCUGGUGGCAGUAGACAGCCCGUAUGCGAUGAGGGAAUGCUUUGGCAUGUUUUACAGCACAGCCCCAACGUCCAGAACAGGAACGACUUGAGAAACUGCAAGUCACUUCUGGCGUGAGAGAAUUGGCCAUCGGCAAAGAUAUUGCCCAGGGUACGCCUGGAGGUUUUGAUAUUUUUACCAUCCUUGUGGGUGGCUUCUCUCAUGUCCCCACAUGGAGCUGGAGCUGAUAGAGGGAGCUCACCUGAGCUCUCCACGGGUUGGAUUUGAAUUGGGGUCAGCAACCCAACCUUCAAGUCAUCAGUCCUGCCAGCACAAGGGUUUAACCCACUGUGCCACUGGUCAGUUCAUUUAACCAUGUGUUUCUCUGAAAAAAUAGCACAUGGUCCACAUUCAUAAAUACCAUGAUGCACAAAUCUGCCUUAAUAAAAGUCCA